Molecule: ribosomal RNA, 389 nt
Filed under: uncultured bacterium
Lineage: Bacteria
Description: bacterial SSU rRNA
Rfam family: Bacterial small subunit ribosomal RNA
Source: RNAcentral
AACGAACGCUGGCGGCGCGCUUAACACAUGCAAGUCGAACGAGAAGCUGUAGCAAUACAGUUGUACAGUGGCGAACGGGUGAGGAAUACAUGGGUAACCUACCCUCGAGUGGGGAAUAACCAGCCGAAAGGCUGGCUAAUACCGCGUACGCUUCCCAAUCUGCGGGUUGGGAAGGAAAGCUCUACCGUGGGUAGAGCGCUCAAGGACGGGCUCAUGUCCUAUCAGCUUGUUGGAGGGUAACGGCCUACCAAGGCAACGACGGGUAGCUGGUCUGAGAGGACGAUCAGCCACACUGGCACUGCGACACGGGCCAGACUCCUACGGGAGCAGCAGUGAGGAAUAUUGCGCAAUGGGCGACAGCCUGACGCAGCGACGCCGCGUGGGGGAGU